AGUGAACGCUGGCGGUAGGCCUAACACAUGCAAGUCGAACGGCAGCACAGUAAGAGCUUGCUCUUACGGGUGGCGAGUGGCGGACGGGUGAGGAAUACAUCGGAAUCUACUUUUUCGUGGGGGAUAACGUAGGGAAACUUACGCUAAUACCGCAUACGACCUACGGGUGAAAGCAGGGGAUCUUCGGACCUUGCGCGAUUGAAUGAGCCGAUGUCGGAUUAGCUAGUUGGCGGGGUAAAGGCCCACCAAGGCGACGAUCCGUAGCUGGUCUGAGAGGAUGAUCGGCCACACUGGAACUGAGACACGGUCCAGACUCCUACGGGAGGCAGCAGUGGGGAAUAUUGGACAAUGGGCGCAAGCCUGACCCAGCAACACCGCGUGGGUGAAGAAGGCCUUCGGGUUGUAAAGCCCUUUUGUUGGGAAAGAACAGCAGCAGAAGAAUCCCCCGCUGUUCUGACGGUACCCAAAGAAUAAGCACCGGCUAACUUCGUG
This 492-nucleotide ribosomal RNA is filed under the name uncultured bacterium. RNAcentral describes it as "partial 16S ribosomal RNA". It matches the Rfam family "Bacterial small subunit ribosomal RNA", at positions 29 to 507 of the family's 1533-position model. The record is from RNAcentral.